Molecule: long non-coding RNA, 514 nt
Filed under: Mytilus galloprovincialis (Mediterranean mussel)
Lineage: Eukaryota; Metazoa; Mollusca; Bivalvia; Mytilida; Mytilidae
Source: RNAcentral
GAUAAGUAACAUAUACAAUUCCUUGAUAACACUUUGAUAGUGUUUAUAUAUUUUAUCAGAUAACAAAAAGACAAAAAGUAUUUAUUGACAUGUAUUGACAGAUAUACGCUUUAAGAGUGUUAUUUAAAUAAUAAUUUAUUUCAGCACUCGUGUGUUUUUGGUAACAUGCAAAGACUGCAGACUUAAUGGACGAAAAUACGCGCGAGUUCGAACCUUUCAUUUGUCACUCGUUUUUGCGAGUAUAUCAUAUAGCAAGUUAAAAGUUUAAAGUUAUGAUAUAAGUCAUAUUAAGUUAAUACUGUGGUCAGUGGAUUCUUGAAAAAUAAUCCACCGUAAGAACAAUAGACUGACGUCAGAGAAAUGGGUUAAGUUUCCAUAUUUUUCGAUUAUCUGGGGGAUCGGGCAGGGAUUUCUACCCCAAGUUAAGUACAUGUUGUUUUGAAAGAUUGUUUUUAACUUGAAUUUAUAAAUGUUUAAUUCAAUAAUAAUUCAUUAAAUGCAUAUACCAAGCCAA